UCGUUGAUUAGCUCGGUUGGUUAGAGCAUGGCGCUGAUAAUGCCAAGGUUGCAGGUUCAAGCUCUUCCAACUCUACAAU
Molecule: non-coding RNA, 79 nt
Organism: Podarcis lilfordi (Lilford's wall lizard)
Lineage: Eukaryota; Metazoa; Chordata; Lepidosauria; Squamata; Lacertidae
Source: the annotation of a GenBank genome assembly